GACAUAACCAUCUACGAAUUGCACAUUUGUGAUUUUAGGUAAAUUGUGCUGCUUGAUUUACACAACUAAAAAUCUGGCGGGGUUUAUGCAUAUUCAUCUUUGGAACUUACCUGUCUGUUUCCUGUGCUUUUCAAUUACAGUGCCCAUGAUGGCACAAUGGACAUUGACUCUCGUGGAGGAUUUCGUGCAUUUGCAUACUAGGCCUCAGCAGGAAUGUUUGACUCAUGUACAUUUGUUGCCAAGCUUUCAUUUUGCUGGCGUUGACGACAUUAAGAGCAACUGGAAAUUUUUCGGUAAGGAAAUAUUUCUCUUUAUAAAAGAUGAGUGUGAACUAGCAACAUUCCCUCCAGGAUCAGAUAUGCAACAAGCAGCGGUAGUAGCUAUUCAGGAAGAGGACCCUUAUAAUUGGGGGUAUUCAUUUCACACUUCUUUUUCCCUCAAACAUUCCAGAUACUAAUGUAUCAUGGUGGUGUUAAAUAUCGGAAAGUUAAUUAUGUUCUUGCGAGUAAAAUAUUCUUACAUAUGGUCAUACUUAUGCUAAAGGUAUGACUCUGUGCUUUGGAAGGUUCCAAAAGGAAGCUAUGCAAGUGAUUUCAUCAGGAAAGAGAUGCAGACGAAAGGAAGAGAGACUCCCCCAAGCUCUGUCUAGGCGAUGCACGGGCGACGGCCACCCUUCUUGUUAUUGCCUCCAUGGCUGACUGCUCAUC
Non-coding RNA from Triticum urartu, 707 nucleotides. Lineage: Eukaryota; Viridiplantae; Streptophyta; Magnoliopsida; Poales; Poaceae. The record is from RefSeq and is a predicted model, not a curated record.